GACGAACGCUGGCGGCGUGCUUAACACAUGCAAGUCGAACGGAAAGGCCCUGCUUUUGUGGGGUGCUCGAGUGGCGAACGGGUGAGUAACACGUGAGUAACCUGCCCUUGACUUUGGGAUAACUUCAGGAAACUGGGGCUAAUACCGGAUAGGAGCUCCUGCUGCAUGGUGGGGGUUGGAAAGUUUCGGCGGUUGGGGAUGGACUCGCGGCUUAUCAGCUUGUUGGUGGGGUAGUGGCUUACCAAGGCUUUGACGGGUAGCCGGCCUGAGAGGGUGACCGGCCACAUUGGGACUGAGAUACGGCCCAGACUCCUCCGGGAGGCAGCAGUGGGGAAUAUUGCACAAUGGGCGGAAGCCUGAUGCAGCAACGCCGCGUGCGGGAUGACGGCCUUCGGGUUGUAAACCGCUUUCGCCUGUGACGAGGCGUGAGUGACGGUAAUGGGUAAAGAAGCACCGGCUAACUACGUG
This 468-nucleotide ribosomal RNA is filed under the name uncultured bacterium. RNAcentral describes it as "partial 16S ribosomal RNA". It matches the Rfam family "Bacterial small subunit ribosomal RNA", at positions 28 to 507 of the family's 1533-position model. The record is from RNAcentral.